This 435-nucleotide ribosomal RNA is filed under the name uncultured bacterium. RNAcentral describes it as "partial 16S ribosomal RNA". It matches the Rfam family "Bacterial small subunit ribosomal RNA", at positions 29 to 507 of the family's 1533-position model. The record is from RNAcentral.
AACGAACGCUGGCGGCAUGCCUAACACAUGCAAGUCGAACGAUUGCCUUCGGGUGAUAGUGGCGCACGGGUGCGUAACGCGUGGGAAUCUGCCCUUAGGUUCGGAAUAACAGCUGGAAACGGCUGCUAAUACCGGAUGAUAUCGCGAGAUCAAAGAUUUAUCGCCUGAGGAUGAGCCCGCGUUGGAUUAGGUAGUUGGUGGGGUAAAGGCCUACCAAGCCGACGAUCCAUAGCUGGUCUGAGAGGAUGAUCAGCCACACUGGGACUGAGACACGGCCCAGACUCCUACGGGAGGCAGCAGUGGGGAAUAUUGGACAACGGGCGCAAGCCUGAUCCAGCAAUGCCGCGUGAGUGAUGAAGGCCCUAGGGUUGUAAAGCUCUUUUACCCGGGAAGAUAAUGACUGUACCGGGAGAAUAAGCCCCGGCUAACUCCGUG